RNAcentral lists this ribosomal RNA (386 nucleotides) under uncultured bacterium. RNAcentral describes it as "bacterial SSU rRNA". It matches the Rfam family "Bacterial small subunit ribosomal RNA", at positions 30 to 417 of the family's 1533-position model. The record is from RNAcentral.
AUUGAACGCUGGCGGCAGGCCUAACACAUGCAAGUCGAGCGGAUGAGUGGAGCUUGCUCCAUGAUUCAGCGGCGGACGGGUGAGUAAUGCCUAGGAAUCUGCCUGGUAGUGGGGAACAACGUUUCGAAAGGAACGCUAAUACCGCAUACGUCCUACGGGAGAAAGCAGGGGACCUUCGGGCCUUGCGCUAUCAGAUGAGCCUAGGUCGGAUUAGCUAGUAGGUGAGGUAAUGGCUCACCUAGGCGACGAUCCGUAACUGGUCUGAGAGGAUGAUCAGUCACACUGGAACUGAGACACGGUCCAGACUCCUACGGAGGCAGCAGUGGGGAAUAUUGGACAAUGGGCGCAAGCCUGAUUCAGCCAUGCCGCGUGUGUGAAGAAGGCCU